This 1107-nucleotide long non-coding RNA is filed under the name Homo sapiens (human). Its description in RNAcentral is "HSALNT0348033". Lineage: Eukaryota; Metazoa; Chordata; Mammalia; Primates; Hominidae. The record is from RNAcentral.
CUGAAGAAUGAAUGAGGGUGUAUUUCCUGUGUGCCUUGUAGGGGUUUCUGUUUCAUCUUCCUUCUCAUUGACUGGAAUAUUAGACUAUGACCUCCUGUUCUUGCCUUUUUAGCACAUCCCGCAUUUUCUCAGGAUGUUAUCCUCAUCUCUACGAUAGAAAACGGCUCACCACUAAGUUCACAUUCCAGACAGCAGGAAAGGGAUAAAACAAAAAGGGAAGAUACCGCCUUCCUUUAAUGAGACAGCCCUUUUAGAUGUUCUCUUUUUGCCCUUUCGUGAUGACCUGCCUAAGACUUGCAUACAGUUUGGAAUGGAAUGCCUGGGCUCAAAGGCUACAGCCCACAGGUCAGCAUCUGACAUUUUCAUGCACACCGUGUACAGCUCCCUGUGUGGUGGAAUGUGUCAUGUCAGAACAUGAAGAUCUGUGACAAGGCCUGGCAAUGGCUUUGACAGAGAAACUUCUCAGAAAAACUUGCCUGUCUUUUUCUAAUGAGGAAAUCCCAAAAAGAGAAGCUGAAACUUUCCUGUUGUAGAAGGGUAAUAAGUAAGCUGUGGAGAAAAUUGGACAAAUGCAGAAAUCUAUAUAAAGCAAGUGUGACUUUUUCCCGGGAGAAGAUCUUGCCAGAAAACAUGGUGGUCGUAUCAUAUCUGAUUGACUGGUGCAAAACAUGGACUAGGUAAGAAUGGGUACCAGGAAUUUCCUAGAGGACUUAUGGUGGGGCUACAGCUUGACUGCUAAGUCUCCCCGCUGGUUCCUGCUUAUGUGCUUGUAAGGGUCACUCGCAGGGAGAGCCUGGGGCAUGCACAGCUUGUUUUCCUCUCCUCCCUUGCUCAUGACUAUGUUUAGCUCCCAAGCAGGAAGAGGCUGAAUAGCUGUAAGAAAAUCUAAGAGAUUUGUUUGUAUGUCCCUGCCAUCAGAGGAUGGAGUCUUAGAUAAUGGGACUACAAAACGACAUAAUUAAUUUUCCAUCAACUUUUUCCAAGGACUUUCAAAUUUAUUUUAUGUCCUAAAUUUAUUCACCUUCACUGCCAUUCUGUUUUCAGAUUUUCUGUCCAAUCAUGGUACAGUAGCAAAAGUGCCAAACUUGGACUCAAUAAACUAGUUUU